UGGGGAAUUUUGGACAAUGGACGCAAGUCUGAUCCAGCCAUUCCGCGUGCAGGACGAAGGCCUUCGGGUUGUAAACUGCUUUUGUACGGAACGAAAAAGCUCUUAUUAAUACUAGGAGUCCAUGACGGUACCGUAAGAAUAAGCACCGGCUAACUACGUGCCAGCAGCCGCGGUAAUACGUAGGGUGCAAGCGUUAAUCGGAAUUACUGGGCGUAAAGCGUGCGCAGGCGGUUAUAUAAGACAGAUGUGAAAUCCCCGAGCUUAACUUGGGAACUGCAUUUGUGACUGUAUAGCUAGAGUACGGCAGAGGGGGAUGGAAUUCCGCGUGUAGCAGUGAAAUGCGUAGAUAUGCGGAGGAACACCGAUGGCGAAGGCAAUCCCCUGGGCCUGUACUGACGCUCAUGCACGAAAGCGUGGGGAGCAAACAGGAUUAGAUACCCUGGUAGUCCACGCCCUAAACGAUGUCAACUGGUUGUUGGGUCUUCACUGACUCAGUAACGAAGCUAACGCGUGAAGUUGACCGCCUGGGGAGUACGGCCGCAAGGUUG
Molecule: ribosomal RNA, 548 nt
Filed under: uncultured prokaryote
Description: bacterial SSU rRNA
Rfam family: Bacterial small subunit ribosomal RNA
Source: RNAcentral